CCCUUAGAUGUCCGGGGCUGCACGCGCGCUACACUGAAGGAAUCAGCGUGCUAAAACCAUUGUCGAAAGGCAUUGGUAAACCCAUUAAAAUCCUACGUGAUUGGGAUCGGGAAUUGCAAUUAUUUCCCUUGAACGAGGAAUUCCCAGUAAGUGUGGGUCAUAAGCUCGCGUUGAUUACGUCCCUGCCCUUUGUACACACCGCCCGUCGCUGCCCGGGACUGAGCCGUUUCGAGAAAAGCGGGGACUGCUGCUGUCGGGGCUUUCGGGCCUUGGCUUCGGUGGAAACCGCUUUAAUCGCAGUGGCUUGACCCGGGCAAAAGUCGUAACA
RNAcentral lists this ribosomal RNA (328 nucleotides) under uncultured eukaryote. Its description in RNAcentral is "partial 18S ribosomal RNA". It matches the Rfam family "Eukaryotic small subunit ribosomal RNA", at positions 1470 to 1796 of the family's 1831-position model. The record is from RNAcentral.